Molecule: ribosomal RNA, 433 nt
Filed under: uncultured bacterium
Lineage: Bacteria
Description: partial 16S ribosomal RNA
Rfam family: Bacterial small subunit ribosomal RNA
Source: RNAcentral
AACGAACGCUGGCGGCAUGCCUAACACAUGCAAGUCGAACGAGACCGUCGUGUCUAUUUGCGCUCGGCGGCGUACCGCGGGGUAACCUACCCUUAGGUUCGGAAUCCCUCCCCGAAAGGGGUGCUAAUACCGGAUAAUCUCUUCGGGCCAAAGAUUUAUCGCCUUUGGAUGGGCCCUCAUUAGAUUAGCGGGUUGGUAGGGGAAAAGCCUACCAAGGACACGAUCCAUAGCUGGUCGGAGAGGAUGAUCAGCCACACUGGGACUGAGACACGGCCCAGAAUCCUACGGGAGGGAGCAGUGGGGAAUAUUGGACGAUGGGCGAAAGCCUGAUACAGCAAUGCCGCGUGAGUGGUGCAGGCGUUAGGGUUGUAAAGCUCUUUUACCCGGGACGAUAAUGACAGUACCGGGAGAAUAAGCACCGGCUAACUCCGUG